UAUCUGCUGUCACGCAUAACAUUCAUUUUAUUUGACCGUAUUUCAAAGAUAAACAAAAUUCAGUUACAACUCCGAACCGCUAGAUGGCAGCAGUACACAAACACGAGGCCAAAUCUCACGAGAAAGAUUUCCGCUGUUUGAAAGGCAACAACAUCAGCGAGCAGCCACGAGGAAAGCAAUCUACCACACUCGUUUGGUCUUGUGUCAAAGCUGUGCGAAACUGGAGGGAGAAACUUGAGAGACCGUGCCGGAAGAAUGCUGGACAGAGUUCACUAAAAUUCAUUAAUUUCAAAGUUCAACAUGAAUGGUGGUGGUCCACUGCAGAAGCAAGCAUUUGAAAAAACAUCAGUUCUCAGUUAUUAAAGAUGCUGUGUUGAACAACUUCCCAUCAGCAACAGAACUGGAAGUGAAGGAUGCAAUGGGGGCAUUUCAAACAGGCACCAGGGAGCACGGUAGUGAUGGGUCGUUCGCGAACGCCGGCUCUAAGAGCUGAUUCUUUGUAGCGAACGAGCAGAGCCGAAUCUUCAGACGCAGGCAGGGGAGCCGGCUCUUCUAAGGGAGCUGAGCCAGAAGAGCCGAAUCUAUGAAAAGAGCCGGGCUGCCAUCACUAAAAUGUAGAGCCGGAGCUUGAGCCGAAAGAGCCGAAUCAAUGGAAAGAGCCGGACUGCCCAUCACUAGAGCACGGGGAGGGGGGGUAUAGAAAUUAGUACAAUUAAUAAGUUGAUGUGAACUGAAGAUAGUUUGUUAAUGUUUAGAUGUUAUUUCAUUUUUCAAAUUGUAUUUUGUUAUUUAUGCUUUUAUUUUGUUACUGUUUUUAUUCUUUUUGUUAAGUAGUUUUUCUUCAUUUUGUCUUAUCUGAAUUUCUAUUGUAUUAACAAUAUUUUUUGUAAUAAAUUGCAUGUUUAUGAGAACCUUUUUUAAUGGAUUAAAAAGAAUUCUUUAGCCA
Paramisgurnus dabryanus is the source of this 946-nucleotide long non-coding RNA. RefSeq lists it as uncharacterized. The record is from RefSeq and is a predicted model, not a curated record. NCBI's taxonomy places the organism in Eukaryota, Metazoa, Chordata, Actinopteri, Cypriniformes, Cobitidae.